This 433-nucleotide ribosomal RNA is filed under the name uncultured bacterium. Its description in RNAcentral is "partial 16S ribosomal RNA". It matches the Rfam family "Bacterial small subunit ribosomal RNA", at positions 29 to 507 of the family's 1533-position model. The record is from RNAcentral.
AACGAACGCUGGCGGCAUGCCUAACACAUGCAAGUCGAACGAGACCUUCGGGUCUAGUGGCGCACGGGUGCGUAACGCGUGGGAAUCUGCCCUUGGGUUCGGAAUAACAGUUGGAAACGACUGCUAAUACCGGAUGAUGACGUAAGUCCAAAGAUUUAUCGCCCAGGGAUGAGCCCGCGUAGGAUUAGCUGGUUGGUGGGGUAAAGGCCUACCAAGGCGACGAUCCUUAGCUGGUCUGAGAGGAUGAUCAGCCACACUGGGACUGAGACACGGCCCAGACUCCUACGGGAGGCAGCAGUGGGUAAUAUUGGACAAUGGGCGAAAGCCUGAUCCAGCAAUGCCGCGUGAGUGAUGAAGGCCUUAGGGUUGUAAAGCUCUUUUACCCGGGAUGAUAAUGACAGUACCGGGAGAAUAAGCCCCGGCUAACUCCGUG